AGUCAUGUGGCUGAGUGGCUAGGCGAAGAUUUCAUAACCCUUCUACAGCGGUUCGAGUCCGCUCAUGACGUCAA
Molecule: transfer RNA, 74 nt
Filed under: Pedobacter nyackensis
Lineage: Bacteria; Pseudomonadati; Bacteroidota; Sphingobacteriia; Sphingobacteriales; Sphingobacteriaceae
Description: tRNA_Met_CAT
Rfam family: tRNA
About the family: Transfer RNA (tRNA) molecules are approximately 80 nucleotides in length. Their secondary structure includes four short double-helical elements and three loops (D, anti-codon, and T loops). Further hydrogen bonds mediate the characteristic L-shaped molecular structure. tRNAs have two regions of fundamental functional importance: the anti-codon, which is responsible for specific mRNA codon recognition, and the 3' end, to which the tRNAs corresponding amino acid is attached (by aminoacyl-tRNA synthetases). tRNAs cope with the degeneracy of the genetic code in two manners: having more than one tRNA (with a specific anti-codon) for a particular amino acid; and 'wobble' base-pairing, i.e. permitting non-standard base-pairing at the 3rd anti-codon position.
Source: RNAcentral